Molecule: ribosomal RNA, 95 nt
Filed under: Providencia stuartii
Lineage: Bacteria; Pseudomonadati; Pseudomonadota; Gammaproteobacteria; Enterobacterales; Morganellaceae
Source: RNAcentral
UCUGGCGGCAAUAGCGCGGUGGUCCCACCUGACCCCAUGCCGAACUCAGCAGUGAAACGCCGUAGCGCCGAUGGUAGUGUGGGGUCUCCCCAUGU